UGGGGAAUUUUGGACAAUGGGGGCAACCCUGAUCCAGCCAUCCCGCGUGUGCGAUGAAGGCCUUCGGGUUGUAAAGCACUUUUGGCAGGGAAGAAACAGCCUGGGCUAAUAUCCCGGGCGACUGACGGUACCUGCAGAAUAAGCACCGGCUAACUACGUGCCAGCAGCCGCGGUAAUACGUAGGGUGCAAGCGUUAAUCGGAUUCACUGGGCUUAAAGGGUGCGUAGGUGGGUAUGUAAGUCGGUGGUGAAAUCCCCGAGCUUAACUUGGGAACUGCCAUUGAUACUAUUUGUCUUGAAUACCGUAGAGGUAAGCGGAAUAUGUCAUGUAGCGGUGAAAUGCUUAGAUAUGACAUGGAACACCAAUUGCGAAGGCAGCUUACUAUGCGGUGAUUGACACUGAGGCACGAAAGCGUGGGUAGCAAACA
RNAcentral lists this ribosomal RNA (427 nucleotides) under uncultured bacterium. Its description in RNAcentral is "bacterial SSU rRNA". It matches the Rfam family "Bacterial small subunit ribosomal RNA", at positions 355 to 774 of the family's 1533-position model. The record is from RNAcentral.